GCAGUCGUGGCCGAGUGGUUAAGGCGAUGAACUAGAAAUCCAUUGGGGUUUCCCCGCACAGGUUCUAAUCCUAUCGACUGCG
Molecule: transfer RNA, 82 nt
Filed under: Ixodes scapularis (black-legged tick)
Lineage: Eukaryota; Metazoa; Arthropoda; Arachnida; Ixodida; Ixodidae
Rfam family: tRNA
About the family: Transfer RNA (tRNA) molecules are approximately 80 nucleotides in length. Their secondary structure includes four short double-helical elements and three loops (D, anti-codon, and T loops).
Source: Rfam by way of RNAcentral